AUUGAACGCUGGCGGCAGGCCUAACACAUGCAAGUCGAACGAGUGGCGGACGGGUGAGUAAUGUCUGGGAAACUGCCUGAUGGAGGGGUAUAACUACUGGAAACGGUAGCUAAUACCGCAUACCAUCGGAUGUGCCCAGCUGGGAUUAGCUAGUAGGUGGGGUAACGGCUCACCUAGGCGACGAUCCCUAGCUGGUCUGAGAGGAUGACCAGCCACAUGGGAACUGAGAAACGGGCCAGACUCCGACGGGAGGCAGCAGUGGGGAAGAUUGCACAAUGGGCGCAAGCCUGAUACAGCCAUGCCGAGUGUAUGAAGAAGGCGUUCGGGUUGUAAAGUACUUUCAGCGGGGAGGCGUUACCCGCAGAAGAAGCACCGGCUAAAUCCGUGCCAGCAGCCGCGGUAAUUC
This 406-nucleotide ribosomal RNA is filed under the name uncultured bacterium. Its description in RNAcentral is "partial 16S ribosomal RNA". It matches the Rfam family "Bacterial small subunit ribosomal RNA", at positions 30 to 526 of the family's 1533-position model. The record is from RNAcentral.